RNAcentral lists this transfer RNA (94 nucleotides) under Actinomycetospora sp. NBRC 106375. Its description in RNAcentral is "tRNA-Arg". Lineage: Bacteria; Bacillati; Actinomycetota; Actinomycetes; Pseudonocardiales; Pseudonocardiaceae. The record is from RNAcentral.
GCGUCGAGGGCGUGGACGUGGUCGUGGAGCGCUCCGGACGCUUCGAGCGCCGCCUGACCGUCGGCGGACGCACGUUCGGCGUGCUCUCGGUGCA